AUUGAACGCUGGCGGCAGGCCUAACACAUGCAAGUCGAGCGGAUGAAGGGAGCUUGCUCCUGGAUUCAGCGGCGGACGGGUGAGUAAUGCCUAGGAAUCUGCCUGGUAGUGGGGGAUAACGUCCGGAAACGGGCGCUAAUACCGCAUACGUCCUGAGGGAGAAAGUGGGGGAUCUUCGGACCUCACGCUAUCAGAUGAGCCUAGGUCGGAUUAGCUAGUUGGUGGGGUAAAGGCCUACCAAGGCGACGAUCCGUAACUGGUCUGAGAGGAUGAUCAGUCACACUGGCACUGAGACACGGUCCAGACUCCUACGGGAGGAAGCAGUGGGGAAUAUUGGACAAUGGGCGAAAGCCUGAUCCAGCCAUGCCGCGUGUGUGAAGAAGGUCUUCGGAUUGUAAAGCACUUUAAGUUGGGAGGAAGGGCAGUAAGUUAAUACCUUGCUGUUUUGACGUUACCAACAGAAUAAGCACCGGCUAACUUCGUG
This 484-nucleotide ribosomal RNA is filed under the name uncultured bacterium. RNAcentral describes it as "partial 16S ribosomal RNA". It matches the Rfam family "Bacterial small subunit ribosomal RNA", at positions 30 to 507 of the family's 1533-position model. The record is from RNAcentral.